This is a non-coding RNA of Schistosoma curassoni, 45 nucleotides long. The record is from Rfam. Lineage: Eukaryota; Metazoa; Platyhelminthes; Trematoda; Strigeidida; Schistosomatidae.
AUCCAGCUGACAAGUCCGAAAUAUGACGAAAUGCGUGUCCUGGAU